GAAAGCAGACAAAUGGUCGCUUCAGCCUUAGGCUGAGGAGGAAAGUCCGGACUCCGAUUGCCAGUAUAAUCUCCUAACAGGAGAUCACCCAGCACUAAUUUCCUGAGAAAAUUAGUGCUGGGGAGGAUAAGAGCCACAGAGACGAGCAAUCCCCCAAAGCUUUAGCGUAGGGGGAGGAGGUGAAACGGGGCAAUCUCUAUACGGAGAAAGAUUAAAUAGGAGAUGAAGAAGUGGCAAUCUUCGUCCCGAAGUUUCGGGAUAAAUCUCGGGUAAAUCGUUUAAUUCCGAUAGCAAUAUCGAAAUAAGAGAAAUGACCAUUUAGAUACAGAAUCCGGCUUAUUAUCUGCUUUCCAAA
Candidatus Omnitrophica bacterium 4484_213 is the source of this 355-nucleotide non-coding RNA. Lineage: Bacteria; Pseudomonadati; Candidatus Omnitrophota. The record is from Rfam.